UACGGGGGGAGCAAGCGUUGUUCGGAUUUACUGGGCGGAAAGGGCGCGUAGGCGGCCAGCACAAGUCAGUUGUGAAAUCUCCGAGCUUAACUCGGAACGGUCAACUGAUACUGUGCGGCUAGAGUGCGGAAGGGGCAACUGGAAUUCUUGGUGUAGCGGUGAAAUGCGUAGAUAUCAGGAGGAACACCGAUGGCGAAGGCAGGUCUCUGGGCCACUACUGACGCUGAGAAGCGAAAGCAUGGGGAGCGAACAGG
RNAcentral lists this ribosomal RNA (254 nucleotides) under uncultured bacterium. Its description in RNAcentral is "partial 16S ribosomal RNA". It matches the Rfam family "Bacterial small subunit ribosomal RNA", at positions 524 to 776 of the family's 1533-position model. The record is from RNAcentral.